Long non-coding RNA from Aethalodelphis obliquidens (Pacific white-sided dolphin), 7212 nucleotides. RefSeq lists it as uncharacterized. The record is from RefSeq and is a predicted model, not a curated record. Lineage: Eukaryota; Metazoa; Chordata; Mammalia; Artiodactyla; Delphinidae. The transcript has 3 exons.
CUCCGGGAGCGGGCGGCGGCGGGGGCGGGGCGGGGGGCGGGGCGGGGCGGGGCGCGGCGUCUUCGCGCGCCCCGCGCCCUAACCUGGGAUUCCCCCGCGGGUGGGCGGCGCCUGCCGACGCGCUGGUGGUCGCCCCGCCUGCGUGCGGCCAUCCCUCGGGCAGUGGGAGCCCGCCUGCGUCUUCGGGUCCCCGCAGCCCCCCGCGCGGGCCCGACUGGCGCGGCCGCCAGACUGUCCACCCGACCGCGGGCCCCGGCGAGCGGACCCCGCGCUCGCGGCCAGUUUGCCUCCCCCAAAAUGAGAAGAUUGGGGAGGCACUUCAAGGGCCGGAAGCCUGAAUCUGCCUGUGCCCCUGGCGGUAGGACGAGCACCUGGCCGGCGGGCCUGUCUCCGCGGCUACUUCCGGAGCUACUCUCCCCGAGAUGGCAGAAACUAGACCCGGGUCCCACCGCGCUCACUUCACAGGCUCCCUCUUGGCGCCCAAAACCAAGCAGAAGCCACAGUCUAUAGAGAUCCAGUAACUUGUGACACGAGAGAGGCUGAAACUCCAUAAAGGCAAAGCCCUUUUCUACCUGUGCACUGCUGUGUGCUAAGCAGAGUGCCUGCACAGAAGAGGCAUUGACACAUUAGUUAAAUGAUGAAUAACCAGAGGGGAUUCCAGAUGAGAAGCAGAGAUUCUACAUGAAGCAGUGAUGGGAAGGAUAAAGCCCCACUAUCUUUUCUCAGCUCCUCCCCAACUGGCUACAGAUUGGAAAUCUUAUUACCCUCAAAGACAGCUCCCCGUUUCAUUGUCUCCUAUCCUCCUCAUUUCUCAGAGACAGAUGCUAUGAGAUCAUUGCAGUCUUUUGGAGAUCCAGGUCCCCAAUCCCAUAAUAUAAGGCUCUAUUCAGGAGAGGAGAGAUAUGAAUACUUCCAAGGAAGUACUCUUGGGCACAUCAUUUUAGUUAAUUAUCAUCAUCUCAUCAAACCAUCACCUUACUGAAUACUCCCAAAGAUAAAUCUUUGUGUUCUUAUUAACCAUUUCCCUAAAAUAGUAGGAGACCAAGGAUAAUCUGUCCCUGACUUCUUCCUUGGAGAUUCGUGUUUCCACAAGUCACAGCCAAUCAUAGUUUUAAAUGGUCAAAAACAGAAACAACGACUUCUCUGUGUUAAGAAUCACUCAAUUGCAGGUAAUCCAUACCUGAUUCAAACAACUCUAGGAAAUCUUUUAAAUUUAUUGUUACAUAACUGCGAAGUUUAGGAUUUGCCAGGUGUACGUAUGUCUGGAGCUAGGUUUUCAAAAUAUAUCUCAGUCUCUCUAUCUUGCAGUUUUCCUGAUGGCUGUAUUCUUUGCCAAAUCUCUCCAUUGGUAAAAGCAGUGGUUUUUGAAGUGCGGCAAAGAAGGAAACCCCUUCCAGCAUCCAUUUCAAUCCUACAAAAGGACCCCAGUAGGCUCUGCUUGGGUCGCAUGCCCAAGCUUACAUACCUCUCCCUGAUUCCUGCAGAGUGGUGUUCUCUUGUGGGCUAGCCUGGGUCACAUACCCACCUCUGUGGGGCAGGGGGACAGUGCAGAGAGGAGGUUGAUUGGCAGUUCCGCUAGUAUCACAGAAGUAGAGGAAGAGGUAGUCCCCACAGGGAAGGAAUGUGAGGAGACAAGAAAGAAACUGGUGUCCACUCUAUUUCCACUCCCCUGCUCGUUCAGAUGUCCCCCAGCCCAUCCUAGAGGCAUCUGGACCACGUGUUUUUCGUGUGUUACCACCAUCCAGCUGCAGCGACCACUCCAGGCACAUCUGCCCUGUCUCUGAGGCACAUAUGCCCUUGAAAUAGUGAUUUCAUUUCCUUUGGAUAAAUACCCAGAAGUGAAAUUACUGGAUCCUAUUUUAGCUCUAUUUUUGAUUUCUUGAUGAAUCUCCAUACCGUUUUCCUUAGUGGCUAUACCAAUUUACAAUCCCACCAACAGUGCACAAGUUUCUUCUCUUUGAUAAUAGCCAUUCUGUGUCAUUGCUUGCUCUUCUCUUGUAGACAGCAUAUAAUUGGACUUUUUAAAAUUCAUUCUCCCAAUUUCUACUUCUUAAUUGGAAUGUUUAAUCCAUUUACAUUUAACAUAAUUACUAGUAGGUUAGGGCUUUUGUAUGUCAUUUAAAAUUUUCUUUAUGUCAUGUCUUUUUCCCUUUAUUUCUUCAUUACUGCCUUCUUUUGUGUUAGAUAAAAUUUCCUAGCAUACCAUUUAAAUUAUCUAUUGUUUCUUUACUAUAUAUUUUUGAGAUUUUUUAUUGGGUGCCCUGGCAAUUAAAAUGAAAUUGUAACUUAGAAUAAUCUAGUUUGGAUUAAUAGCAAUUUAAACAGUCUGCUAAACUUUUGCUUCUUUAUAUUCCAUUCCCUCCCUUUUCUUUAUACUUUUAUUGUCAUACAAAUUACAUCUUUACACACCGUAAGCCCAACAAGGUAGUUUUAUAAUUGUUGCUUUGUACAGUUGUCCUUAAAUCCAAAAGAAGAAAAAAAACUACAAAUGAAGACACAUUUGUACUGUCUUUGUAAAACCCAUGUAUUGACCUCCUCUGGUGUUCUUCAUUGUUCAUUUGGAUUUUAGUUACCGUCCCAUCAUUUCAGCCUGGAGGACUCUGUUUAGUAUUUCUUGUAGGUCAGGUCUGAUAGUGACGAAGCCUCUCAUUUUUUCGUCUCCUUCAUUUUUGAAGGACUAGAUUUCCUAGAUGUAGGAUCUUAGUUGACAGUGUUUUUCUUUUAGUACUUUGACUAUGUCAUCCACUGCCUGCUGGCAACCAUGGUUUUGAAUGAGAAGUUAGUUGUUAACCUCAUUGAGAUCCCUUGUGCAGGACGGGUUUGCUUUCCUCUUGCUGCUUUCAUCAGUGUCUCCUUUUCUUUGGCUUUUUAGCAAUUUGAUUAUGGUGUAUUUGGUGUAGAUCUCUUUAAAAUGAUCUACUUGGAGUUCAUUGAGCUUCCUUGGUGAGCAGAUCGUUUUUCAUCACUUAGGAAGUUUUGGGCCAUUGUUUCUUCAAAUAUUCUUUUUUCUCCUUUCUUUUCUUUCUUUCUUGGACUCCCCUUAUGUGUAGGCUGGAUGGUGUCCCACAGGUUUCUGAGGCUCUGUUUAUUAUUCUUUAUUCUUUUUCUUUUUGUUCUUCAGACUGGAUAAUCUCAAUUAGUCUAUUGGUGGUUUUGUCUGCCUGUUCAGAUCUUCUGUUGAGCCCCUCUAGUGAAGUUUUCAUUACAGUUUUUAUACUUUUCGACUCCAGAAUUUUCAUUUAAAAAUAAUUUAUAUCUCUUUAUUGACAUAUUCUAUUUUGUGAGAUGUCAUUCUCUUACUUUAGUUCUUUCAACAUGGUUUCCUACAUGAUUGAUGACUUUAAGUCUUCGUCUAGUAAAUCUAACAUGUGCCCUUUCUCGUGCACAGUUUCUUUUGUGUGCUUUUUCUCUUGUGAAAAGAUAUUCUUCCUGGGUUUUUUUUUUUUUUUCAUGUCUUGUGAUUUUUUGCUGAAAGCUGUACAUUCUAGAUAAAUAAUGUGCCCACCCUAGAAAUAAGAUUCUCUCCUUCCCAAGGUUUUUUGCUGUUGUUCUUGCUGUUUUCUGUUUAUUUGUUCAGUGACUUUCCUAGACAAAUUUUAUAAAGUCUGUAUUCUUUGUCAUAUAUAGCCACUGAAGUCUCUGCUACUUAGCUUAGUGUUCAGCGAAUGAUUGCACUAAGAUUUCCUUAUGUGUCUUGAACCAAUGAGUCUCUCAUCCUUUCUCUGGUGCUUCUGUGUGUGUGUUGGGGCAUGCUUGCCAAGUUCCCACAGGUAGCUUACAGCUCUGCAUUAGCCUACACUUCUUGCUUGUGCAGACCCUCAGCGUCAGCCAGAAUUGAGAGCUUAGGGUCUUCUCAGUUGUUUCUUAGGCAUAGACACAGCUCUAGGUAUGCACACAGCCCUGUGUGUGUGCUUGUGGUCUUCUAGAUUCCCAGGAAUAUAUAGAAACUUUUGAAAGCACCCUAUGGAUAUCACGUGUCCAGUGUUUCCUUUUAAGUUUUUUUUUCAUAGCCUUUUGUUAGCCUCAACUUGUAACACUUCCUUAAGCAACUGCAGUGUUAAACAAUUAAUGCUGAUUGUUUUGACAAAUACCCUGUCAGUAGGGCUGUUCUCACAGAGGGAGUUCUAAGUCACAUCAAAGAAAGAGUUGCCCUGAAAAUGGAACUUUUCAGCAGGCUGUCAGACAGGUCAAAUAUUGACAGUUCUUUGGGAAUGGCCCUUUUGGGAGCUCUGCACUCAUUCUGCCCCCUCUAGCGGCUGCUAGGCUGCUAGCUCUCAGGCAUAUUCUCUUUGAUCUUCAAGGUUACUGAGAGGGAAAGCAUCACCUCUGCAAAGCUUGGCAGUGUCUCUUGAUUGAUGAAUGUUACUAGACUGAAAUUAGGACUUCUGUCUAUCAAAGACACCACUAGGAAAAUGAAAAUGGAAGCCAAAGAGUGGAAGAUGGUAUUUGUAAUACAUAUGACUGACAAAGAAUUGUCACAAAUCUGUAAGAGCAGGUUAGACACAGCUGAAUUUUUUUAAAAAAUUGUGAACAGAAGGAAUUAUUUGGAACACCAUCUAAAAAGACAGAGAUGCAAAAUAUAAAACUAUACCGAAAAUAAGGAAGUAAGAGUAAUAAGUCCUAACAUAUACAAAGAGACAAUUUUCAAAGACAUGUAACUAGGAUAUUUUAGAAAUAUUGCUAAGAUUUAAAUUCUAAAAUAUCAGAAUCCAAAUGAACUUCAAGUAGGGGAAAAAGUCCACAACUAGAAACAACAUAGAGAAACUAUAGGACAUGAAAGACAAAAGACCUUAAAAGCAUCCAAGAAAAACCAGAUUACCUAUGAAGAAAUGGCAAUGAGAGUAAAAUUUUAUUUUUCAGUGACCAUGAUAUCAGAGCCAGUGAAUUAUUUUCAAUGUGCUCAGAGACACUGAAGAGUUACCCACAGUUCUCUACCCACUGACACCAUCUUUAAGAGCAAAGGUUAAAUAAAAACGUUUUCUGACUUAAUAACUAAGAAUGUUUUUCUCUAAAAGACACUCAUUAAAGGAAAUACUGAAAAUAUGUGGAAAAAAUACCUCAGGUGGAAUGUCUGAGGGACAAGAAGAAAUGGUGAGCAAAGAUAUUGCUAAAUAUAGAUACAGAUGGUAUAAAGUAAAUAAAGUAGCGUCUAACUUAGGGGUAGGGAUGAUAGAGUAGAACUAAAAUAGUGAACAACUGGAUGUGUGGUCAGAUUUGAAUGGUGCUUCGUGAUUAAGAGAUGCUAAAUCCAGAUUUCUUUGGUUUGAAUUCUGACUUUGGUACUAAUUAUCUGGUGGUACCUAUUACCUUGCUUUAGGCAAGUUAAUUAACACCUCUGUACGUCUAUUUACUUCUCUUAAUAUGAGGAUAGUAAUAGUAUCACUCAUAGGGUUACUGGGAUGCUUAAAUUAGUUAAUAUAUGUGAACCACUUAGAACAGUGCUUGAUACAUGGCAAGUGCUUCCUAAGUGUGAGCUAUGAUUAUCAAUAAAGCAUUCUCAGGUCCUUGUGUUGCCAGGUGAAAUACAGAAUCAUGGUGAGAGACUUUAUCAAACUUCUUUUGACAGCAGUGAUUGAGAAAAUAAAAAUACUAUUAGCAAGUUCGUUUUCAUUGACUCAUAAACUUUGUACCACACUAACUUAAACUACAUAGACUUUUCAAAAAUCUAUUUAUUGAUCUACACGAUAAUUCCAAGAAGUAAAAACCUGACAGGUUGUGGCAGACACUGCUAGCGGCCUUCGUGAUGUUCAGCCUGCCUUUCUUACACACAGAACACUGGUUUCCUGUAGAGUGUGAAUGUGUCCAGCUAAGACACUGACUCUCCCAGAUGUCUUUACAAUUAUAUGGCCAUAGCCCCUAGUUCAGAUCGUUGAGAUUUAAGUGAAAGUCAUUGGGUUGGAUUUCUGGAAAGGCCAUGUCAUGCUUUAUGCCUUUAAAGCUAAUGUGCCGUGAACCAAUAUGUUUCUAUCCUUUCACUCUGUGUGUGUGCUCCUCAUGCCUUCAAAGCUCCCGUAAGAAGUUGACAACUCUGCCUUAGCUCUCACUUCUUAUUUGUACAUAGCCUGAAGGUCAGCCAGAGGUGAAAACUUACAGCCUUCUCAGGUUUUCCUGGGCAUGUGCACAACCCUUGGCAUGAACACAGCCCUGCACAUGCAUGUGGCCUUUUAGAUUCCCAGGAACGUACAGGAGAUUUCAAAUGUCCCUUGUGAACUUUUUUCCAAAUAAUCUAUUUACUCAGAGAGAAUUCGCUAAAAAUUUCUGGGAAUUUAAAAGUGGACUUUGACAGAUUGUUUCCUAAAAUCGGCCAAGAAGAACAAUAAAGUGGAAUCUUCUAUGUCAUCAAAAUGACAGUAAUGAUAAUAGGGUGGCAUUAUUCAGAAAUAUAUAGCAUGAUGGGAAAAGAAGUCCAUAAAUAGACACAACACACACGCACACACUUUGCGUAUGAUAUAGGCUGCACUUUAAAUUAGUAGGGAAAGGAUGAAUUAUUCCAUAAAUAGGUUGGAAUGAUUGGCAGUUCAUUUAGGAGAAUAAUAGAUCUUUAUGUCAUUCCUUACACAGGAAUAAAUUCCAAAUGGUUUAAAGAUAUAGAUAGAUAAAUGUGUUAAUAAUCUUAACGUGAGGAAGGUUUUUUUUAGGACGAAGGAAAACGAGAAAAAACAAAGGCAAAUCUUGACAAAUUUGACUAUCGACGAGUUAAAUACGUCCUCAUAGUGAAAGUCCCCACAAAUAAAAGUAAAGGCAAACAACAGGCUGAUUGACAGUUCUUAUCAAAUAUGUAACAGAAAAAGAAAAAACUGAAUAAUGGGAUCCUGUUUUUAACCAAUUAAAUUGGCCAAAGAGAAGAAGCUUUUAGGAGGUUGAUCGUAUGCCAUGUUAAUGUGGAGGUGAAGAUACAGUCAUACUCACCUUCACUGUUAGUAAGAGUACAAAGUGGUAGAGCUGUUUUGAGAGAGGCAAUUUGACAGGUUCUAACAAAAUUUUAAAUGUGUGUCACUCAAAUACAAUAUUCUCACCUCUGGGAAUCUGUACUGCAGAAUAUUCACACGCUCCCAAAGGGGUGUUUGCGUGAGGCUGUUCACUGCCCUGCUGUCUGUGGCAGGACCAGGAACCUGAAUGCCCUUCACUCCUCUGUGUGGGGGGGUGUGUGUGUGUGUGUGUAUAUGUGUGUGGGGUGUGUGAGUGUAUGGGUGUGGGUAUGUGUAUAUGUGU